AUUGAACGCUGGCGGCAGGCCUAACACAUGCAAGUCGAACGAGUGGCGGACGGGUGAGUAAUGUCUGGGAAACUGCCCGAUGGAGGGGGAUAACUACUGGAAACGGUAGCUAAUACCGCAUACCAUCGGAUGUCCCCAGAUGGGAUGAGCUAGGAGGUGGGGUAACGGCUCCCCUGGGCGACGAUCCCGAGCUUGUCUGAGAGGAUGACCAGCCACACUGGAACUGAGACACGGUCCAGACUCCCACGGGAGGCAGCAGUGGGUAAUAUUGCACAAUGGGCGCAAGGCUGAUGCAGCCAUGCCGCGUGUAUGAAGAGGGCCUUCGGGUUGUAAAGUACUUUCAGCGAGGAGGCGUUACUCGCAGAAGAAGCAUCGGCUAACUCCGUGCCAGCCGCCGCGGUAAUUC
Molecule: ribosomal RNA, 406 nt
Filed under: uncultured bacterium
Lineage: Bacteria
Description: partial 16S ribosomal RNA
Rfam family: Bacterial small subunit ribosomal RNA
Source: RNAcentral